This 213-nucleotide small RNA is filed under the name Pseudomonas sp. WPR_5_2. Its description in RNAcentral is "Pseudomonas sRNA P29". Lineage: Bacteria; Pseudomonadati; Pseudomonadota; Gammaproteobacteria; Pseudomonadales; Pseudomonadaceae. The record is from RNAcentral.
AAACUACAAGGGGAGCCGAAGCUCCCCAAGAAGUAGUUGCAUGCUCUAUUUUUAUUUUUGGUUUCGGGCUUCUUGUUUUUGUUGAGUGCCCUUGCCAUGAAGCUUUCCUUCAUGACCCUCCCAAUCGGGAGCCAAGAGCAAACGGAUUGCUUUGGUCGCUGUGUUGCAGUGAUCUUGCGAUCCAACCAGUACAGGCUCUGUCUAAAGACAGUU